RNAcentral lists this unclassified non-coding RNA (390 nucleotides) under fungal sp. RNAcentral's name for it is "partial internal transcribed spacer region". The stretch from base 1 to 46 matches the Rfam family "Eukaryotic small subunit ribosomal RNA", at positions 1786 to 1831 of the family's 1831-position model. Lineage: Eukaryota; Fungi. The record is from RNAcentral.
AAGUCGUAACAAGGUUUCCGUAGGUGAACCUGCGGAAGGAUCAUUAACACGUUAUCCAUACGUUAAACCAAUUGAGAAUCGUUUUCACCCUCCCUUCACGGAGAAUGAGCGGGGUUUGUAGAGGUAUUAAAAGGGAUUGCUUCGGCCGUCUGCCUCUGCUUACUAUUAUAUCAAGACAGAAAUGUUUUGUAUGACGCUGUAUCUUUUUGUGGAGAUUAAUCUCGCUAGCGCUUUCCUUUUAUGAGAGUUAGUUCGGGAACUAUAUUAACUUAUUUCACCUUUUUGCUAGUUGACUUUUAUAUGUUGGAUAUUGUGCCAUGCAUGCUAUUCCACACGUUUAUUAUUUGAACGUUAAAAUUACAACUCUUAGCAAUGGAUAUCUUGGUUCUC